RNAcentral lists this ribosomal RNA (705 nucleotides) under uncultured bacterium. RNAcentral's name for it is "bacterial SSU rRNA". It matches the Rfam family "Bacterial small subunit ribosomal RNA", at positions 78 to 802 of the family's 1533-position model. The record is from RNAcentral.
GCUUUCUCGAGCGAGUGGCGAACGGGUGAGUAACGCGUGAGGAACCUGCCUCAAAGAGGGGGACAACAGUUGGAAACGACUGCUAAUACCGCAUAAGCCCACGACCCGGCAUCGGGUAGAGGGAAAAGGAGCAAUCCGCUUUGAGAUGGCCUCGCGUCCGAUUAGCUAGUUGGUGAGGUAACGGCCCACCAAGGCGACGAUCGGUAGCCGGACUGAGAGGUUGAACGGCCACAUUGGGACUGAGACACGGCCCAGACUCCUACGGGAGGCAGCAGUGGGGAAUAUUGCACAAUGGGGGAAACCCUGAUGCAGCGACGCCGCGUGGAGGAAGAAGGUCUUCGGAUUGUAAACUCCUGUUGUUGAGGAAGAUAAUGACGGUGCUCAACAAGGAAGUGACGGCUAACUACGUGCCAGCAGCCGCGGUAAAACGUAGGUCACAAGCGUUGUCCGGAAUUACUGGGUGUAAAGGGAGCGCAGGCGGGAAGACAAGUUGGAAGUGAAAUCCAUGGGCUCAACCCAUGAACUGCUUUCAAAACUGUUUUUCUUGAGUAGUGCAGAGGUAGGCGGAAUUCCCGGUGUAGCGGUGGAAUGCGUAGAUAUCGGGAGGAACACCAGUGGCGAAGGCGGCCUACUGGGCACCAACUGACGCUGAGGCUCGAAAGUGUGGGUAGCAAACAGGAUUAGAUACCCUGGUAGUCCACACCG